GGGUUGGGGUAGGGUUAGUGGUUGGGGUAGGGUUAGGGUAGGGUUAGUGGUUGGGGUCGAGGUAGGGUUAAGGGAUGGGGUAGGGUUAGGGUAACCAUAACCCUAUCCCUAACCCUACCCCUAAUCCUAAACCAACCCUAACGUAACCCUACCCCUAUCUCUAACCUAUCACUACCCCUGACCUUACCUCUACCCCUACCCUAACCCUACCUCUAACCCUACCCCUAACCUUACCCCUAACCC
This is a non-coding RNA of Pelobates cultripes (western spadefoot toad), 243 nucleotides long. NCBI's taxonomy places the organism in Eukaryota, Metazoa, Chordata, Amphibia, Anura, Pelobatidae. The record is from the annotation of a GenBank genome assembly.